Molecule: ribosomal RNA, 484 nt
Filed under: uncultured bacterium
Lineage: Bacteria
Description: partial 16S ribosomal RNA
Rfam family: Bacterial small subunit ribosomal RNA
Source: RNAcentral
AUUGAACGCUGGCGGCAGGCCUAACACAUGCCAGUCGAGCGGAUGAAGGGAGCUUGCUCCUGGAUUCAGCGGCGGACGGGUGAGUAAUGCCUAGGAAUCUGCCUGGUAGUGGGGGAUAACGUCCGGAAACGGGCGCUAAUACCGCAUACGGCCUGAGGGAGAAAGUGGGGGAUCUUCGGACCUCACGCUAUCAGAUGAGCCUAGGUCGGAUUAGCUAGUUGGUGGGGUAAAGGCCUACCAAGGCGACGAUCCGUAACUGGUCUGAGAGGAUGAUCAGUCACACUGGAACUGAGACACGGUCCAGACUCCUACGGGAGGCAGCAGUGGGGAAUAUUGGACAAUGGGCGAAAGCCUGAUCCAGCCAUGCCGCGUGUGUGAAGAAGGUCUUCGGAUUGUAAAGCACUUUAAGUUGGGAGGAAGGGCAGUAAGUUAAUCCCUUGCUGUUUUGACGUUACCAAAAGAAUAAGCACCGGCUAACUUCGUG